This 253-nucleotide ribosomal RNA is filed under the name uncultured bacterium. RNAcentral's name for it is "partial 16S ribosomal RNA". It matches the Rfam family "Bacterial small subunit ribosomal RNA", at positions 524 to 776 of the family's 1533-position model. The record is from RNAcentral.
UACGUAGGGCGCAAGCGUUGUCCGGAAUUAUUGGGCGUAAAGAGCUCGUAGGCGGUUUGUCGCGUCUGCUGUGAAAACCUAAGGCUCAACCUUGGGCUUGCAGUGGGUACGGGCAGACUAGAGUGCGGUAGGGGUGACUGGAAUUCCUGGUGUAGCGGUGGAAUGCGCAGAUAUCAGGAGGAACACCGAUGGCGAAGGCAGGUCACUGGGCCGCAACUGACGCUGAGGAGCGAAAGCUAGGGGAGCAAACGGG